GACGAACGCUGGCGGCGUGCUUAACACAUGCAAGUCGAACGGGUCUGCCCUGUUUUUUGCGGGGUGGGUCAGUGGCGAACGGGUGAGUAACACGUGAGUAACCUGCCCCUCACUUCUGGAUAACCGCUUGAAAGGGUGGCUAAUACGGGGUGUUCUGGCUGUGCCGCAUGGUGUGGCUGGGAAAGAUUCACUUUUGUGGUGUUUUGGUGGGGGUUGGCCUGCGGCCUAUUAGCCUGUUGGUGGGGUGAUGGCCUGGCAAGGCUUUGACGGGUAGCCGGCCUGAGAGGGUGGGCGGUCACACUGGGACUGAGAUACGGCCCAGACUCCUGCGGGAGGCAGCAGUGGGGGGUAUUGCACAAUGGGCGGAAGCCUGAUGCAGCGACGUCGCGUGAGGGAUGGAGGCCUUCGGGUUGUGAACCUCUUUCGCCGGUGAAGAAGGUCCUGCUCUUUGUGGUGGGGUUGACGGUAGCCGGGUUAUGAAGCGCCGGCUAACUACGUG
Molecule: ribosomal RNA, 499 nt
Filed under: uncultured bacterium
Lineage: Bacteria
Description: partial 16S ribosomal RNA
Rfam family: Bacterial small subunit ribosomal RNA
Source: RNAcentral